Molecule: ribosomal RNA, 492 nt
Filed under: uncultured bacterium
Lineage: Bacteria
Description: partial 16S ribosomal RNA
Rfam family: Bacterial small subunit ribosomal RNA
Source: RNAcentral
AGUGAACGCUGGCGGUAGGCCUAACACAUGCAAGUCGAACGGCAGCACAGUAAGAGCUUGCUCUUACGGGUGGCGAGUGGCGGACGGGUGAGGAAUACAUCGGAAUCUACUUUUUCGUGGGGGAUAACGUAGGGAAACUUACGCUAAUACCGCAUACGACCUACGGGUGAAAGCAGGGGAUCUUCGGACCUUGCGCGAUUGAAUGAGCCGCUGUCGGAUUAGCUAGUUGGCGGGGUAAAGGCCCACCAAGGCGACGAUCCGUAGCUGGUCUGAGUGGAUGAUCAGCCACACUAGAACUGAGACACGGUCCAGAGUCCUACGGGAGGCAGCAAUGGGGAAUAUUAGACAAUGGGCGCAAGCCUGAUCCAGCCAUACCGCGUGGGUGAAGAAGGCCUUCGGGUUGUAAAGCCCUUUUGUUGGGAAAGAAAAGCAGCAGGUUAAUACCCCGCUGUUCUGACGGUACCCAAAGAAUAAGCACCGGCUAACUUCGUG